UUGGAGUAGGAGAAGAUCCCUUAUAAUAAUAAAGAAAGUUAAGUUUCGCUCUUAGAAGUUUGUAUCUCGUGUGUGGUAGUAGUUAGGAUUAAAAGCCUAACUAGCUAUAUGCACGUAGUCGUAACUGAAAGGUUGAUCGACCACAGUGGGCCUGAAUAAAGCCCAUGACGAUUGUCACAGCAGUGAGGAAUAUUGGUCAAUAGCCUAACGGCUGAACCAGCAACUUGGAGGAAUGUAUAGCAAUAGCUACUUGCAUCUUCGUAUACAUGAUGCAAGAUCGACUCUGUCGAAUAAAAUUCUAGGUAGAAUUAUGAUAAUGACAUUGUCUGCCUAUGUGUCUUGACCAAAUUACGUGCCAGCAGUCGCGGUAAUACGUAGAAGACUAGUGUUAUUCAUGUUUAAUCGGUUUAAAGGGUACCUAGACGGUAAAUCAAGCCUACAAAUAAAAGAAAUGAAGGGACUAAUUUGCUAGAGUUACUUAUGAGGGGGUAUUAAAGUACUGCUGGUGUAGAGAUGAAAUUCUGUCAUACCUCUUUUCAAUAGAAAAAUAAUGGCACAGGUAUAGGCGAAAGCAUCCCCUUAUGUGAUAACUGACGUUGAGGGACGAAGGCUUUGUGUAGCGAACAGGAUUAGAUACCCCAGUAGUCAAAGCAGAAAAUGAUGAAUGUCAUAGAUUAGAUAUAUAAGUUUAUUCUAUAAAUGAAAGUGUAAGCAUUCCNCCUCAAGAGUAAUUUGGCAACAUUGGAACUGAAAUCAUUAGACCGUUUNUGAAACCAGUAGUGAAGUAUGUUGUUUAAUUUGAUGAUCCGCAAAAAACCUUACCNCAAUUUGAAUAUUUAUAUCUUUUAUUGUUUUUUUUUAUUUUUCUUCUUAUGACUUUUAUCCAUGAUUUUNUACUCAGUGAAGAAAAGGGAAGAAUACAAGAAAUAAGAAAAGAAGAAGAAGAAAAAUAAAAAAAAAAAUAAUAAGAUAUAUUUACAAGCGUUGCACGGCUGUCUUCAGUUAAUGUCGCAAGACUUUGGUUAGUUCCAUUAAAUUAACGUAAACCCUUACUUUAUUUUUAUAUAGAGUAGUUCUCCGCUAUAUUGGAUAUGAUAACAGGGACUAAGACAA
Molecule: ribosomal RNA, 1113 nt
Filed under: Bryoria implexa
Lineage: Eukaryota; Fungi; Ascomycota; Lecanoromycetes; Lecanorales; Parmeliaceae
Description: SSU rRNA
Rfam family: Bacterial small subunit ribosomal RNA
Source: RNAcentral